AACGAACGCUGGCGGCAUGCCUAACACAUGCAAGUCGAACGAGACCUUCGGGUCUAGUGGCGCACGGGUGCGUAACGCGUGGGAACCUGCCCUUAGGUUCGGAAUAACUCCCCGAAAGGGAUGCUAAUACCGGAUAAUGUCUUAGGACCAAAGAUUUAUCGCCUUUGGAUGGGCCCGCGUUGGAUUAGCUAGUUGGUAGGGUAAAAGCCUACCAAGGCGACGAUCCAUAGCUGGUCUGAGAGGAUGAUCAGCCACACUGGGACUGAGACACGGCCCAGACUCCUACGGGAGGCAGCAGUGGGGAAUAUUGGACAAUGGGCGAAAGCCUGAUCCAGCAAUGCCGCGUGAGUGAUGAAGGCCUUAGGGUUGUAAAGCUCUUUUACCCGGGAUGAUAAUGACAGUACCGGGAGAAUAAGCUCCGGCUAACUCCGUG
This 433-nucleotide ribosomal RNA is filed under the name uncultured bacterium. RNAcentral's name for it is "partial 16S ribosomal RNA". It matches the Rfam family "Bacterial small subunit ribosomal RNA", at positions 29 to 507 of the family's 1533-position model. The record is from RNAcentral.